CACUUAACAGCUAGCCCACAUAUAAUUCCAACACACCCAUAUUUAUAACCCUUAAAACCCUUAACCAUCUAAUUAAACCAUUUUUCCACUCGAGUAUAGGCGAUAGAAAAAGAUCUUUUGGCGCAAUAGAGAAAGUACCGCAAGGGAAUGCUGAAAGAGAAAUGAAAUAACUCAGUUUAAGUAAAGAAAAGCAGAGCUAUAUCCUCGUACCUUUUGCAUCAUGUUCUAGCUAGAGACCCUCAAGCGAAAAGCAUUUUAGUUUGACAACCCGAAACUGAGUGAGCUACCCCAGGACAGCCUAGAAUACAGGGCCAACCCGUCUCUGUGGCAAAAGAGUGGGAAGAUCCUUGGGUAGAGGUGACAAACCUACCGAACUUAGUUAUAGCUGGUUACCUAGGAAUUGAAUAGAAGUUCAGCCUAUUGAAUUCUCCCCUCUAAUAUAGGUCUACACCUAAGGUUUAUGAUUAAGAGAAGUCAAAAGAGUUAGUCAAAGGGGGUACAGCCCCUGUGAAAUAAGACACAACUUUAUUUAGGAGGAUAAGGAUCAAAGUCUACCCAAGGUAGAAUAUUUUAGUGGGCCUAAAAGCAGCCACCCCAAAAGAAAGCGUUAAAGCUCGGAUAUAUAAGAAACCUUUAAUUCUGAUUACAAAAUCCAACUCCCCUUUAUUUACUAGGUCUUCCCAUAACAACCCAUGGGAGUGAUUAUGCUAGUAUGAGUAAUAAGAGAUACAAGCAUCUCUCCACGCACAAGUGUAUCUCGGAACGGACACACCACCGAGUAUUACCCGCCCCCAAGAAAAGAGGGCACUGAGCUAAAAACAGAAAACUAGAAAAGUACUCAACUAAUAAGCGUUGACCCCACACUGGUGCGCGAACAUGGAAAGACUAAAAGGGAGAGAAGGAACUCGGCAAAAUUACUUCUAAGCCUCGCCUGUUUACCAAAAACAUCGCCUCUUGCCAAUGAAGCAUAAGAGGUCCCGCCUGCCCUGUGACUAUAAGUUUAACGGCCGCGGUAUUUUGACCGUGCGAAGGUAGC
Molecule: ribosomal RNA, 1036 nt
Filed under: Craterocephalus honoriae (estuarine hardyhead)
Lineage: Eukaryota; Metazoa; Chordata; Actinopteri; Atheriniformes; Atherinidae
Description: partial 16S ribosomal RNA
Rfam family: Bacterial large subunit ribosomal RNA (bases 189-1036)
Source: RNAcentral